AAUACAUUGUCUUUAUUGUCUGACAUUACAGAUUCGUUUUACACUUUCCUUUUUUUUUUUACAGACCAUGGGAAUGAAGGGUAAAAAUGUGUCCAGCAUUUUGCAAACAUUCUUUGUUACACACAAACACGCACAAUGAAUAAUAGGAAAGAGAAUACAGAAGAAUGAAAGGGUAUGUUGAAAUCAGACAGGCUGUGGUUGUCAUGGAUCCAUGGAAAUAAUGUCAAACUUUUUGAUAAGACUGGCAGGUGGGAUAUAUUGUCAUACACAGCUCGGUACAUGCACUGGGAAUGAAAGCUGCUAGAGCAGAAAGGUGCUUGGUGAUAAGAUAAAGGCUGAAAGUUAUCUAUUCUUU
Molecule: long non-coding RNA, 355 nt
Filed under: Bos taurus (domestic cattle)
Lineage: Eukaryota; Metazoa; Chordata; Mammalia; Artiodactyla; Bovidae
Description: long non-coding RNA NONBTAT014929
Source: RNAcentral